RNAcentral lists this long non-coding RNA (1056 nucleotides) under Accipiter nisus (Eurasian sparrowhawk). RNAcentral's name for it is "lncRNA (ENSANIG00000012157.1)". The record is from RNAcentral. Lineage: Eukaryota; Metazoa; Chordata; Aves; Accipitriformes; Accipitridae.
CUGGGCAUUAUAAAACGUUACUGCAUAUGACAAUAUCUCAUUUCCAAUGACAAUUUUUGCUUCCUCAGACUUUGCUUUUCACUUUAGCUUGGUAACUAUUGUUUACAUCUAAUUAUGAGUUCUUAUUGUCAGGGUAAAGAAGUGGGGACAAAAGUCAUCAGUCUGUCAAGCAGUGCUUUGGUGGACAAGAUUGGUGUGGCAAGAGGACCAGCAUCAUUUUCAAAUGGAUAUGGGUGGCAGGCUUCCUGGUCCUAUUCCAAGUACAUAGAAGCCUUGGAGCAGGAGAGAAUACUUAUUAAAAUGCAAGAAGAUCUGGAUAAAAACUCAUCAUCAUUCCUUACAGGUGCUUCAUCUAUGUCCUUCCUGAAGCCUGGAAACUCCGAAAAAUCCACCAUUUCUCCAAAGAGUAGUGUGAGUUUGGAGAAACACUCAAAUCUUCCCAAGAAACAGAAAGCAGAUUAAAAUCUCUCUGAAGAAGGGAAUGCAAAGACAUUCAACAGAGGUGGGCAGGAGACACAAAAAUAAUGUGCUUGCAAGGUUUGUCCAUAUGUUUCCAGAGCAAAGACGACGACUUGGAAUAUUAUUAAGAACCAUGGGACAUUAGCCAAGGGUAGAAAAUAAACAUCUUCCAAUGUGUUCUGUAUCACCAUGAUUGUGAUACUGCCUCUUGUGUUACUCAUUUGUUUAAAAGUACACCUUGAGGCUCAAAUCAGAGUAAGAUUUCAUUGAAGUAUGCAUGGUACAAACAACUAGGUGGUCUUGGUCCUAAAAAUAUUAUAAUCAAACCCAGUUCUUCAGUGCCUGAUCUAAUGAGUAAAUAAAACUGCAUUGAACUGACAGCCCUGAAGCAGUGUGUCUUGGCACACUAUGCUCUCAGUACUGCAAUUCACGCAACAUCUAUUCAUCAAGGAUAACUCAUUAAGUGUCUGAGCUAUCAUAAAAUCAAAUGCUGUUGUGGUUUGCUCCCAGUCCAGUCUGAUUCCUGGUCCAACGUACACCUUCUGCCUCAUUUCUGAGUUUUGAUCCACAAGAGAGGCUUAAAAUACAUCAGGACAC